GGCCAAACAUGCAGUCGAGCGAGCUUGCCUAGAUGAUUUUAGUGCUUGCACUAAAUGAAACUAGAUACAAGCGAGCCGCUGACGGGUGAGUAACACGUGGGUAACCUGCCCAAGAGACUGGGAUAACACCUGGAAACAGAUGCUAAUACCGGAUAACAACACUAGACGCAUGUCUAGAGUUUGAAAGAUGGUUCUGCUAUCACUCUUGGAUGGACCUGCGGUGCAUUAGCUAGUUGGUAAGGUAACGGCUUACCAAGGCAAUGAUGCAUAGCCGAGUUGAGAGACUGAUCGGCCACAUUGGGACUGAGACACGGCCCAAACUCCUACGGGAGGCAGCAGUAGGGAAUCUUCCACAAUGGACGAAAGUCUGAUGGAGCAACGCCGCGUGAGUGAAGAAGGGUUUCGGCUCGUAAAGCUCUGUUGGUAGUGAAGAAAGAUAGAGGUAGUAACUGGCCUUUAUUUGACGGUAAUUACUUAGAAAGUCACGGCUAACUACGUGCCAGCAGCCGCGGUAAUACGUAGGUGGCAAGCGUUGUCCGGAUUUAUUGGGCGUAAAGCGAGUGCAGGCGGUUCAAUAAGUCUGAUGUGAAAGCCUUCGGCUCAACCGGAGAAUAGCAUCAGAAACUGUUGAACUUGAGUGCAGAAGAGGAGAGUGGAACUCCAUGUGUAGCGGUGGAAUGCGUAGAUAUAUGGAAGAACACCAGUGGCGAAGGCGGCUCUCUGGUCUGCAACUGACGCUGAGGCUCGAAA
Molecule: ribosomal RNA, 750 nt
Filed under: uncultured bacterium
Lineage: Bacteria
Description: bacterial SSU rRNA
Rfam family: Bacterial small subunit ribosomal RNA
Source: RNAcentral